CACGUAGGGUGCGAGCGUUGUCCGGAAUUAUUGGGCGUAAAGAGCUCGUAGGCGGUGUGUCGCGUCGGCCGUGAAAACCUGCAGCUUAACUGUGGGCUUGCGGUCGAUACGGGCAUCACUGGAGUUCGGCAGGGGAGACUGGAAUUCCUGGUGUAGCGGUGGAAUGCGCAGAUAUCAGGAGGAACACCAAUGGCGAAGGCAGAUCUCUGGGCCGUAACUGACGCUGAGGAGCGAAAGCAUGGGGAGCGAACAGG
Molecule: ribosomal RNA, 254 nt
Filed under: uncultured bacterium
Lineage: Bacteria
Description: partial 16S ribosomal RNA
Rfam family: Bacterial small subunit ribosomal RNA
Source: RNAcentral